RNAcentral lists this ribosomal RNA (253 nucleotides) under uncultured bacterium. Its description in RNAcentral is "partial 16S ribosomal RNA". It matches the Rfam family "Bacterial small subunit ribosomal RNA", at positions 524 to 776 of the family's 1533-position model. The record is from RNAcentral.
UACGUAGGCAGCGAGCGUUGUUCGGAGUUACUGGGCGUAAAGGGUGUGUAGGCGGUUGUUUAAGUUUGGUGUGAAAUCUCCCGGCUCAACUGGGAGGGUGCGCCGAAUACUGAAUGACUAGAGUGCGGGAGAGGAAAGUGGAAUUCCUGGUGUAGCGGUGAAAUGCGCAGAUAUCAGGAGGAACACCGGUGGCGAAGGCGGUGGGCUGGGCCGGCACUGACGCUGAGGAGCGAAAGCGUGGGGAGCGAACAGG